AAUAAUACAUGGUUGGUCUUU
Molecule: microRNA, 21 nt
Filed under: Canis lupus familiaris (dog)
Lineage: Eukaryota; Metazoa; Chordata; Mammalia; Carnivora; Canidae
Description: cfa-miR-369
Gene: cfa-miR-369
Source: miRBase by way of RNAcentral